GCGGGGGUAGCCAAGCCAGGUCCAAGGCGCCGGAUUCAGGGUCCGGUGGGCGUCAGGCCCGCGUGGGUUCGAAUCCCACCCCCCGCACCA
This 90-nucleotide transfer RNA is filed under the name Thermoproteota archaeon. RNAcentral's name for it is "tRNA-Leu". It matches the Rfam family "tRNA". Rfam says of the family: Transfer RNA (tRNA) molecules are approximately 80 nucleotides in length. Their secondary structure includes four short double-helical elements and three loops (D, anti-codon, and T loops). Lineage: Archaea; Thermoproteati; Thermoproteota. The record is from RNAcentral.